ACUCCUACGGGAGGCAGCAGUGGGGAAUAUUGCACAAUGGGCGCAAGCCUGAUGCAGCCAUGCCGCGUGUAUGAAGAAGGCCUUCGGGUUGUAAAGUACUUUCAGCAGUGAGGAAGGUGGGUAUGUUAAUAGCAUAUUCAUUUGACGUUAGCUGCAGAAGAAGCACCGGCUAACUCCGUGCCAGCAGCCGCGGUAAUACGGAGGGUGCGAGCGUUAAUCGGAAUUACUGGGCGUAAAGCGCAUGCAGGUGGUUUGUUAAGUCAGAUGUGAAAGCCCGGGGCUCAACCUCGGAAUUGCAUUUGAAACUGGCAAACUAGAGUACUGUAGAGGGGGGUAGAAUUUCAGGUGUAGCGGUGAAAUGCGUAGAGAUCUGAAGGAAUACCGGUGGCGAAGGCGGCCCCCUGGACAGAUACUGACACUCAGAUGCGAAAGCGUGGGGAGCAAACAGGAUUAGAUACCCUGGUAGCCUCUGC
Molecule: ribosomal RNA, 473 nt
Filed under: uncultured bacterium
Lineage: Bacteria
Description: bacterial SSU rRNA
Rfam family: Bacterial small subunit ribosomal RNA
Source: RNAcentral